RNAcentral lists this ribosomal RNA (465 nucleotides) under uncultured bacterium. Its description in RNAcentral is "bacterial SSU rRNA". It matches the Rfam family "Bacterial small subunit ribosomal RNA", at positions 338 to 795 of the family's 1533-position model. The record is from RNAcentral.
CCUACGGGUCGCACCAGUGGGGAAUAUUGCACAAUGGGCGCAAGCCUGAUGCAGCCAUGCCGCGUGUAUGAAGAAGGCCUUCGGGUUGUAAAGUACUUUCAGCGGGGAGGAAGGCAAUAAGGUUAAUAACCUUGUCGAUUGACGUUACCCGCAGAAGAAGCACCGGCUAACUCCGUGCCAGCAGCCGCGGUAAUACGGAGGGUGCAAGCGUUAAUCGGAAUUACUGGGCGUAAAGCGCACGCAGGCGGUUUGUUAAGUCAGAUGUGAAAUCCCCGGGCUCAACCUGGGAACUGCAUCUGAUACUGGCAAGCUUGAGUCUCGUAGAGGGGGGUAGAAUUCCAGGUGUAGCGGUGAAAUGCGUAGAGAUCUGGAGGAAUACCGGUGGCGAAGGCGGCCCCCUGGACGAAGACUGACGCUCAGGUGCGAAAGCGUGGGGAGCAAACAGGAUUAGAUACCCUUGUAGUC